GGAAGUGGAUAGUGCACUGGUGGCGCUCCCGGACUUCAAAUCCGGUGUAUCGGGUUAAUAGCUCGAUAGGUGGGUUCGAUUCCCAUGCACUUCCGCCA
Molecule: transfer RNA, 98 nt
Filed under: Desulfocapsa sulfexigens DSM 10523
Lineage: Bacteria; Pseudomonadati; Thermodesulfobacteriota; Desulfobulbia; Desulfobulbales; Desulfocapsaceae
Description: tRNA-SeC (TCA) (tRNA-SeC-TCA-1-1)
Rfam family: Selenocysteine transfer RNA
Source: RNAcentral